UACGGAGGGGGCUAGCGUUGUUCGGAAUUACUGGGCGUAAAGCGCGCGUAGGCGGCUUUGUAAGUUAGAGGUGAAAGCCCGGAGCUCAACUCCGGAACUGCCUUUAAGACUGCAUCGCUAGAACGUCGGAGAGGUAAGUGGAAUUCCGAGUGUAGAGGUGAAAUUCGUAGAUAUUCGCAAGAACACCAGUGGCGAAGGCGGCUCACUGGCCCGGUACUGACGCUGAGGCACGAAAGCGUGGGGAGCAAACAGG
This 253-nucleotide ribosomal RNA is filed under the name uncultured bacterium. RNAcentral describes it as "partial 16S ribosomal RNA". It matches the Rfam family "Bacterial small subunit ribosomal RNA", at positions 524 to 776 of the family's 1533-position model. The record is from RNAcentral.